RNAcentral lists this non-coding RNA (143 nucleotides) under Gloeochaete wittrockiana. The record is from RNAcentral. Lineage: Eukaryota; Glaucocystophyceae; Gloeochaetales; Gloeochaetaceae.
CACUUGGUUUUAAGAAGAAAUCUUAUCGCUAGUUUUUGGAUAUCAGUUAGAAUCAUAUGCGAUUUUGGCCCAGCUCCGCCCAGCGUGAGUGUGGAACUUCCAGGUUAGAAGUGUUUGUUAUAGAGUGUCUUGGGUAUAGAGAU